ACUACGAGACAAUAGAACUCCGAUAAUUUGAGCUGCGACUGUACAACCAACUUAGGAUUCAAAACUCAAGAUGUCGCCAGUGUCGCCUUUGUUGUUGUUACAAACGAGGCGAAGCCGAAAAGGGCGAAACAAAACUGUAGCUAAUUUAUACUUAUAUUCCUGUGAUUUCAAUUACCAAAUUGAAUUUCGUAUCAUGUUCUUCUAGAUGCAUACUGUCAGUGUCAGUCAUUCCAACAAGUUGACUUAGCGCUCAGUCAAUUUCCAUCCAUUAGGCCCAUCAUGCUGUCAAAAGCCUAAAACUUAUGUUUAAAGACCACAUGUAGUGGAAAACAAAUCUGCCGAGAUAAAGUGUGAACCAUAUAAGACUUUUCUGAAUCUUGCAAUUUUUGUGGCGCACCCUGCAACAGC
This 408-nucleotide long non-coding RNA is filed under the name Daphnia pulex (common water flea). RNAcentral's name for it is "uncharacterized LOC124207010". Lineage: Eukaryota; Metazoa; Arthropoda; Branchiopoda; Diplostraca; Daphniidae. The record is from RNAcentral.